UCCCACUCUCUCAACUCUCAUGUCUGCUUCUGAGUAGUGAAAGGUUAUCAGAAUUUUAUUUUCAAGUAAUAACUUCUUCUCAUGUAAAUCUUCAUUUUCAUUUGUUUCAAAAUUGACCAGCCAACUCUGAUUUACAGCUGGAUACAUUCUCUUUAAUUACCUAAGUUAUAACCUUUCCUUUUUCCAUCAAAAUUCAUCUCUAUGUUGAAAAAAAGUAUGAGGACCAAUGGUAAUCAUGAAACACCAAAUACAAGUAAAACAGUUCAUAAUAAAACCGCAAAACUUAUGGCUCAUCCCAAAACGUUUCCCACUGUUCAGACUCACGUGAAGGUGGCCAACAUGCGUGAUCUGCGUCAGGACUCGAAAGAUCAGAAAAUUCCUCGACCACCCAAUGCAUUCAUGUUGUUCGCCAAUGAUUUCCGCCGCAAACUUGCCGGAGAAUUUCCCAAAGAAAGCAACAAGGACAUCAGUAUUAGACUUGGAUGCAUGUGGAAAAGCAUGGAAAAGGAUAUCAAGGACAAAUACUUUCAGCUUGCAAAGGAAGUUGAUGCGGCGCACAAGAAAAAAUAUCCAGAUUAUGUUUACAAUCCGAAGGAGGCUCGUUUGCGCAAAGCUAUUCGUGAGAAAAGUCGAGCCGGCGGACAGAGGGUACAGGGGGGCGCCGCGAGUUCCGGCCAGAGGGGCGGAGCCCCUGCAUCAUGGAGCAAGCCCCGUCAAAACAUGAAUUCUCGCCAGCCAAUCUGCAUGCAGAUGGUGGGAGACCAACAGCAGUUGCAGCAUCGUCAACUUCAGCAUCAGCAGUACAUCCAACUCCAGCAGCAGCAGCACCAACAAGCACAACAGCAGCAGCAGCAGUCUUUGCUGCGUUGCAACAAUAGACAGCAGCAGCCGCAGCAGCAGAGCAGUGGAGGUGGAGGUGGAAGUGGCAACACGGCAGCCAACAUGAUGCUUCAGAACUACAACGACUACCUGGACCUGUCCUACCACCAUGUGGCGCAGGCGGCCGACUACACUCUGCUGCCUGAGCACCACCAGUCAGAGUCCUCCUGGUAUUCGUCAACCUUCCUGCAGCAGCAGGGACCUGACCAGACUGCUUCUUCAUCAUCUGCUUACCCAGUCCGAAGUGAAUCCAGAAAGGUGGCGGAAUCCCACGAGUGGAGUUCGCACUUUGCUACUGAAAGCAAUUCUGCCUUCAUCCAUACAAGUGCAGAAAAUUCAGCAGAUAAGGAUGCAAGCCGCAGUGAGGAAUUGGUGGACUCAGCGGGGCGGGGGGGAGGCAGUGACGGUAACGGUGAAUGGGGGUCCUCACCACCCCCACCCCCACCCACAGCCGCAAUGCAUGACAGCCGCAGCCGCAGCUGCAGCCGCAGCUGCAGCGGCUGGCGACCAAGACAAUGGUCCAGUGCCUGGCUCCGACAUCGAGAUGGAGAAUGGAGUGCUUCUUGAGCCGAACCUAUUGGAACAGAAAUCACUGCUCAAUUUGUCACAGCCGAGCCAAGGAAAGCUGCAGUCAGCUUCCGACGGAAAUAGCAGCGGAGGGAGCAAGGAUGGGCUGCGACUGCCCGGAUUCCAUCAGGCGUUCGGGUCGACUGAGAUCGGCCGCUUUUCGCAGCACGAGGAGUUUUUCGAAACUCAGCCGCUGCCCCCGCCGCAGGACCCCAAGUCGAUGAAACUGGAUUUAUGCACUCCACCGUUUGCAUUGUUCUUCGAUAACGAGUCUCAAAAUUGUGCCAACUUUUUUGAGUCGAAAUCUGACUCCGACAGUUGGUCGUUUCUGUUCAACUCACCAACUAUGCUGGAAAACGCUGACUUCGACAAUGAUUUGCCAUUCAUUGACUACUCGCUGCUCGCUAAUGAUCUCACUUCUCGUAACGAUGAGCCGAAUUCCGAAGAAAUUCUGCCAGAUGUUGUGAAGAGUGCAAUGAACGACGUCAAAAUUGAACAAGAAGAAACCCCAAACACAUCCAGUGAAAGUAAUGACGAGUCACUGGAUAGUAAUUUCAUUUCAAAAAAUCUUCCACUCAACAUUUUCGAUAUGAAAUCAACUGAAGAAUUUGCAAGACACGAUUUCAAAAUCAACCAUUUGGAGCAGCCGCCUGUCAUUGUAUCAGAGAAUGAUAGAAUUUGUGUCUUGAUGGAGUCAGCCAAUGAUCCAUCCAAACAGUUUUCCUAUCUGUAAUAUGCAUUGAAAACAAAACAUAUAAGUUUAUAUCCAUGUUUUCAUAAUAUUGAUUUUAGAUUAUAGUAUUUUCAGUUUUACUCAACAAUCCACUCUUUCGAGCUCCUAUUAAAAAGCUAAUGUAUAAUGAAUCAUUACCCAAAUAGUUAAUAUUUGAGAGUAUUACUUUAUGUGUGUGCCAUUACAGUAAUGUUAUGAUUUUAUUUUUGGACAAUAUUGCAUGUAUUCGUAAAUCUUGUGGUAAAUACCUAUUCUUUUCAAUAAAAUAUCGUCGAAGAUUCGAAAAUG
RNAcentral lists this unclassified non-coding RNA (2467 nucleotides) under Nilaparvata lugens (brown planthopper). Its description in RNAcentral is "sex-determining region Y protein, transcript variant X6". Lineage: Eukaryota; Metazoa; Arthropoda; Insecta; Hemiptera; Delphacidae. The record is from RNAcentral.